UUGGAUGUUUGCCCCGAGUGCUU
Molecule: non-coding RNA, 23 nt
Filed under: Arabidopsis thaliana (thale cress)
Lineage: Eukaryota; Viridiplantae; Streptophyta; Magnoliopsida; Brassicales; Brassicaceae
Source: RNAcentral